RNAcentral lists this ribosomal RNA (253 nucleotides) under uncultured bacterium. Its description in RNAcentral is "partial 16S ribosomal RNA". It matches the Rfam family "Bacterial small subunit ribosomal RNA", at positions 524 to 776 of the family's 1533-position model. The record is from RNAcentral.
UACAGAGGUCUCAAGCGUUGUUCGGAAUCACUGGGCGUAAAGGGUGCGUAGGCGGCGCAGCAAGUCAGAUGUGAAAUCCGGGGGCUCAACCCCCGAACUGCAUCCGAUACUGCUGUGCUCGAGAUCUGGAGGGGGACUUGGAAUUCUCGGUGUAGCAGUGAAAUGCGUAGAUAUCGAGAAGAACGCUCGUGGCGAAAGCGAAGUCCUGGACAGAAUCUGACGCUGAGGCACGAAGGCCAGGGGAGCAAACGGG